UCAUCCCUGCGUGACUGGCGAUAGAACCCUACGGGUUCAAGGUGGAACAACCCACCGUGAAGCGCGGGGCUCCGUUUUGCCGUUCGCCUGGGCAGCUGUG
RNAcentral lists this non-coding RNA (100 nucleotides) under Paraburkholderia sp. RNAcentral describes it as "ZTP sequence". It matches the Rfam family "ZMP/ZTP riboswitch aptamer (pfl RNA motif)". Rfam says of the family: Previously known as pfl RNA. ZMP is also known as AICAR. The record is from RNAcentral. Lineage: Bacteria; Pseudomonadati; Pseudomonadota; Betaproteobacteria; Burkholderiales; Burkholderiaceae.